UAACAGCUCAAAUUUGAAAUCUGGCUCCUGCGGAGUCCGAGUUGUAAUUUGUAGAAGAUGCUUUGGGAGGUAGGGCCGGCCUAAGUUCCUUGGAACAGGACGUCAGAGAGGGUGAGAAUCCCGUAUGCGGCCGAGGCCUACGCCCGUGUAAAGCUCUUUCGACGAGUCGAGUUGUUUGGGAAUGCAGCUCAAAAUGGGUGGUAAAUUUCAUCUAAAGCUAAAUAUUGGCCAGAGACCGAUAGCGCACAAGUAGAGUGAUCGAAAGAUGAAAAGCACUUUGGAAAGAGAGUUAAACAGUACGUGAAAUUGUUGAAAGGGAAGCGCUUGCAACCAGACUUGGGCGUCGGCGAUCAUCCGUGGUUUUCCGCGGUGCACUCGACGAUGCACAGGCCAGCAUCGGUUUGGGUGGUUGGAGAAAGACCCGAGGAAUGUAGCUCUCUUCGGGGAGUGUUAUAGCCUAGGGUGCAAUGCAGCCCACCUGGACCGAGGACCGCGCCUUUGGGCUAGGAUGCUGGCGUAAUGGUUGCAAGCGACCCG
RNAcentral lists this ribosomal RNA (537 nucleotides) under Golovinomyces depressus. RNAcentral describes it as "eukaryotic LSU rRNA". It matches the Rfam family "Eukaryotic large subunit ribosomal RNA", at positions 102 to 651 of the family's 3401-position model. Lineage: Eukaryota; Fungi; Ascomycota; Leotiomycetes; Helotiales; Erysiphaceae. The record is from RNAcentral.